RNAcentral lists this ribosomal RNA (260 nucleotides) under Meloidogyne javanica (root-knot nematode). RNAcentral describes it as "5.8S ribosomal RNA". The stretch from base 105 to 258 matches the Rfam family "5.8S ribosomal RNA". From Rfam's summary of the family: 5.8S ribosomal RNA (5.8S rRNA) is a component of the large subunit of the eukaryotic ribosome. It is transcribed by RNA polymerase I as part of the 45S precursor that also contains 18S and 28S rRNA. The record is from RNAcentral. Lineage: Eukaryota; Metazoa; Nematoda; Chromadorea; Rhabditida; Meloidogynidae.
GUGACAUGUUAGGACUUUAAUGAGUUUAAGACCUAAUGAGCCUUUUAAGUGAGGCCGCCAGCAACCUUUUUUUUCUUUACAUUUUAAAAAAAAAACUAAAAUUCUAUCCUUAUCGGUGGAUCACUAGGCUCGUGGAUCGAUGAAGAACGCAGCAAACUGCGAUAAUUAUUGCGAACUGCAGAAGUAUUGAGCACAAAAGUUUUGAACGCAAAUGGCCGCAUUGAGGUCAAACUCUUUGCAACGUCUGGUUCAGGGUCAUU